Molecule: ribosomal RNA, 429 nt
Filed under: uncultured bacterium
Lineage: Bacteria
Description: bacterial SSU rRNA
Rfam family: Bacterial small subunit ribosomal RNA
Source: RNAcentral
UGGGGAAUUUUGGACAAUGGGGGAAACCCUGAUCCAGCCAUGCCGCGUGAGUGAAGAAGGCCUUCGGGUUGUAAAGCUCUUUCGGCUGGGAAGAAAUCGCACAGGCUAAUACUCUGUGUGGAUGACGGUACCAGCACAAGAAGCACCGGCUAACUACGUGCCAGCAGCCGCGGUAAUACGUAGGGUGCGAGCGUUAAUCGGAAUUACUGGGCGUAAAGCGUGCGCAGGCGGUUGUGCAAGACAGAUGUGAAAUCCCCGGGCUCAACCUGGGAACUGCAUUUGUGACUGCACGACUAGAGUACGGCAGAGGGGGGUAGAAUUCCACGUGUAGCAGUGAAAUGCGUAGAGAUGUGGAGGAAUACCGAUGGCGAAGGCAGCCCCCUGGGUCGAUACUGACGCUCAUGCACGAAAGCGUGGGGAGCAAACAGG